ACUCCUACGGGAGGCAGCAGUGGGAAUAUUGCACAAUGGGCGCAAGCCUGAUGCAGCCAUGCCGCGUGUGUGAAGAAGGCCUUCGGGUUGUAAAGCACUUUCAGUCGUAGAGGAAGGCUAGUGUAGGUUAAUAGCUGCAUUAUUUGACGUUAGCGACAGAAGAAGCACCGGCUAACUCCGUGCCAGCAGCCGCGGUAAUACGGAGGGUGCGAGCGUUAAUCGGAAUUA
This 228-nucleotide ribosomal RNA is filed under the name uncultured bacterium. RNAcentral describes it as "partial 16S ribosomal RNA". It matches the Rfam family "Bacterial small subunit ribosomal RNA", at positions 335 to 553 of the family's 1533-position model. The record is from RNAcentral.